GGGUUGUGAGGUUAAGCGACUAAGCGUACACGGUGGAUGCCCUGGCAGUCAGAGGCGAUGAAGGACGUGCUAAUCUGCGAUAAGCGCCGGUAAGGUGAUAUGAACCGUUAUAACCGGCGAUUUCCGAAUGGGGAAACCCAGUGUGACUCGUCACACUAUCAUUAACUGAAUCCAUAGGUUAAUGAGGCGAACCGGGGGAACUGAAACAUCUAAGUACCCCGAGGAAAAGAAAUCAACCGAGAUUCCCCCAGUAGCG
This 256-nucleotide ribosomal RNA is filed under the name Salmonella enterica subsp. enterica serovar Panama. RNAcentral's name for it is "partial 23S ribosomal RNA". It matches the Rfam family "Bacterial large subunit ribosomal RNA", at positions 1 to 248 of the family's 2925-position model. The record is from RNAcentral. Lineage: Bacteria; Pseudomonadati; Pseudomonadota; Gammaproteobacteria; Enterobacterales; Enterobacteriaceae.